UACCCAUCCAGAGCGGCCGAGAGACCUGGCUUGUUGACGCCGCAGCAAGUUCACGAAGCAAUCCGUGAAUAGUGCUUCAGCCAGGUCCGAUGGAGA
Molecule: non-coding RNA, 96 nt
Filed under: Arthrobacter sp.
Lineage: Bacteria; Bacillati; Actinomycetota; Actinomycetes; Micrococcales; Micrococcaceae
Description: SAM-I sequence
Rfam family: SAM riboswitch aptamer (S box leader)
About the family: The SAM riboswitch is found upstream of a number of genes which code for proteins involved in methionine or cysteine biosynthesis in Gram-positive bacteria. The SAM riboswitch acts at the level of transcription termination control. The predicted structure consists of a complex stem-loop region followed by a single stem loop terminator region.
Source: RNAcentral